This 128-nucleotide ribosomal RNA is filed under the name uncultured eukaryote. RNAcentral's name for it is "partial small subunit ribosomal RNA". It matches the Rfam family "Eukaryotic small subunit ribosomal RNA", at positions 1651 to 1770 of the family's 1831-position model. The record is from RNAcentral.
CCCUGCCCUUUGUACACACCGCCCGUCGCUACUACCGAUUGAAUGAUUUAGUGAGGUCUUCAGACUGGUGCGCGAUAGCAUUAUUUAUAGUGCUGCCGAUGCUACUGGAAAGAUGACCAAACUUGAUC